This 429-nucleotide ribosomal RNA is filed under the name Gemmatimonadota bacterium. Its description in RNAcentral is "Gemmatimonadetes bacterium partial 16S ribosomal RNA". It matches the Rfam family "Bacterial small subunit ribosomal RNA", at positions 355 to 776 of the family's 1533-position model. The record is from RNAcentral. Lineage: Bacteria; Pseudomonadati; Gemmatimonadota.
UAGGGAAUCUUCGGCAAUGGACGAAAGUCUGACCGAGCAACGCCGCGUGAGUGAAGAAGGUUUUCGGAUCGUAAAACUCUGUUGUUAGAGAAGAACAAGGACGUUAGUAACUGAACGUCCCCUGACGGUAUCUAACCAGAAAGCCACGGCUAACUACGUGCCAGCAGCCGCGGUAAUACGUAGGUGGCAAGCGUUGUCCGGCUUUAUUGGGCGUAAAGCGAGCGCAGGCGGUUUCUUAAGUCUGAUGUGAAAGCCCCCGGCUCAACCGGGGAGGGUCAUUGGAAACUGGGAGACUUGAGUGCAGAAGGGGAGAGUGGAAUUCCAUGUGUAGCGGUGAAAUGCGUAGAUAUAUGGAGGAACACCAGUGGCGAAGGCGGCGCUCUGGUCUGUAACUGACGCUGAGGCUCGAAAGCGUGGGGAGCAAACAGG